RNAcentral lists this ribosomal RNA (465 nucleotides) under uncultured bacterium. Its description in RNAcentral is "partial 16S ribosomal RNA". It matches the Rfam family "Bacterial small subunit ribosomal RNA", at positions 28 to 507 of the family's 1533-position model. The record is from RNAcentral.
GACGAACGCUGGCGGCGUGCUUAACACAUGCAAGUCGAACGGAAAGGCCCCUUUGGGGGUACUCGAGUGGCGAACGGGUGAGUAACACGUGAGUAACCUGCCCUUGACUUCGGGAUAACUUCAGGAAACUGGGGCUAAUACCGGAUAGGAAUCCUUGCUGCAUGGUGGGGGUUGGAAAGCUUCGGCGGUUUUGGAUGGACUCGCGGCUUAUCAGCUUGUUGGUGGGGUAGUGGCUUACCAAGGCUUUGACGGGUAGCCGGCCUGAGAGGGCGACUGGCCACAUUGGGACUGAGAUACGGCCCAGACUCCUACGGGAGGCAGCAGUGGGGAAUAUUGCACAAUGGGCGGAAGCCUGAUGCAGCAACGCCGCGUGCGGGAUGACGGCCUUCGGGUUGUAAACCGCUUUCAGCAGGGGCGAAGCUUGUGGUGACGGUACCUGCAGAAGAAGCACCGGCUAACUACGUG